CGACCGGCGCACGGGUGAGUAACACGUAUGCAACCUGGCCGUGACUGAUGGAUAACCGGGAGAAAUCCCGCCUAAUACAGCAUGACGCCGCGGGAGGACAUCCUCCCGCGGCCAAAGGGGCGACCCGGUCACGGAUGGGCAUGCGGCGCAUUAGGUAGUUGGUGGGGCAACAGCCCACCAAGCCGACGAUGCGUAGGGGUUCUGAGAGGAAGGUCCCCCACAUUGGAACUGAGACACGGUCCAAACUCCUACGGGAGGCAGCAG
This 264-nucleotide ribosomal RNA is filed under the name uncultured bacterium. RNAcentral's name for it is "partial 16S ribosomal RNA". It matches the Rfam family "Bacterial small subunit ribosomal RNA", at positions 92 to 354 of the family's 1533-position model. The record is from RNAcentral.